CCUACGGGGGGCAGCAGUGGGGAAUAUUGGGCAAUGGGCGCAAGCCUGACCCAGCAACGCCGCGUGAAGGAAGAAGGCUCUCGGGUUGGAAACUUCUUUUUUGAGGGACGAAGAAAGUGACGGUACCUCAGGAAUACGCCACGGCUAACUACGUGCCAGCAGCCGCGGUAAUACGGAGGAGGCAAGCGUUAUCCGGAUUUAUUGGGUGUAAAGGGAGUGUAGGCGGGAAAGCAAGUCAGAUGUGAAAGCUCAGGGCUCAACCCUGAGCCUGCAGUUGAAACUGUUUUUCUUGAGUGCUGGAGAGGCAAUCGGAAUUCGGGGUGUAGCGGUGAAAUGCGUAGAUAUACGGAAGAACACCAAUGGCGAAGGCAGAUUGCUGGACAGUAACUGACGCUGAGGCGCGAAAGCGUGGGGAGCAAACAGGAUUAGAUACCCCGGUAGUC
This 443-nucleotide ribosomal RNA is filed under the name uncultured bacterium. RNAcentral describes it as "partial 16S ribosomal RNA". It matches the Rfam family "Bacterial small subunit ribosomal RNA", at positions 338 to 795 of the family's 1533-position model. The record is from RNAcentral.